RNAcentral lists this ribosomal RNA (466 nucleotides) under uncultured bacterium. RNAcentral's name for it is "bacterial SSU rRNA". It matches the Rfam family "Bacterial small subunit ribosomal RNA", at positions 29 to 477 of the family's 1533-position model. The record is from RNAcentral.
AACGAACGCUGGCGGCGUGCCUAAAACAUGCAAGUCGCACGAGAAAGUAUUUAUACGAGUAAAGUGGCGCACGGGUGAGUAACACGUGGAUAACAUACCUUCGAGACUGGUAUAACAGUUGGAAACGACUGAUAAUCCCAGAUAAAGUUUAGAAUACAUUGGGGUAUUUUUGAAUGAAAGCGGGCCUUCGGGUGUCGGCUUGAAGAGUGGUCUGCGUCCCAUUAGCUAGUUGGUGAGGUAAAGGCUCAUCCAAGGCAUUGAUGGGUAGCUGGUCUGAGAGGACGAUCAGCCACACUGGGACUGAAACACGGCCCAGACUCCUACGGGAGGCAGCAGUUAGGAAUAUUGCGCAAUGGAGGGAACUCUGACGCAGCGACGCCGCGUGAGCGAAGAAGGCCUUAGGGUUGUAAAGCUCUGUUGAAAGGGAAGAAUGCUGACGGAUGAAUAAUUUGGUUAGUUGACGGUA